This 784-nucleotide ribosomal RNA is filed under the name uncultured Bacteroidota bacterium. RNAcentral's name for it is "bacterial SSU rRNA". It matches the Rfam family "Bacterial small subunit ribosomal RNA", at positions 1 to 770 of the family's 1533-position model. The record is from RNAcentral. Lineage: Bacteria; Pseudomonadati; Bacteroidota.
UGGAUCCAGACUUUGAUUAUGGCUCAGGAUGAACGCUAGCUACAGGCUUAACACAUGCAAGUCGAGGGGAAACGACAUCGAAAGCUUGCUUUUGAUGGGCGUCGACCGGCGCACGGGUGAGUAACGCGUAUCCAACCUGCCCAUCACUUGGGGAUAACCUUGCGAAAGUAAGACUAAUACCCAAUGACGUCUCUAGAAGACAUCUGAAAGAGAUUAAAGAUUUAUCGGUGAUGGAUGGGGAUGCGUCUGAUUAGCUUGUUGGCGGGGUAACGGCCCACCAAGGCUACGAUCAGUAGGGGUUCUGAGAGGAAGGUCCCCCACAUUGGAACUGAGACACGGUCCAAACUCCUACGGGAGGCAGCAGUGAGGAAUAUUGGUCAAUGGACGAGAGUCUGAACCAGCCGAGUAGCGUGCAGGAUGACGGCCCUAUGGGUUGUAAACUGCUUUUAUAAGGGAAUAAAGUGAGUCUCGUGAGACUUUUUGCAUGUACCUUAUGAAUAAGGACCGGCUAAUUCCGUGCCAGCAGCCGCGGUAAUACGGAAGGUCCGGGCGUUAUCCGGAUUUAUUGGGUUUAAAGGGAGCGUAGGCCGGAGAUUAAGCGUGUUGUGAAAUGUAGAUGCUCAACAUCUGCACUGCAGCGCGAACUGGUUUCCUUGAGUACGCACAAAGUGGGCGGAAUUCGUGGUGUAGCGGUGAAAUGCUUAGAUAUCACGAAGAACACCGAUUGCGAAGGCAGCUCACUGGAGCGCAACUGACGCUGAAAGCUCGAAAAGUGCGGGUAUCG